UUUAUUUCUUGGAGGUUUCUUUCUUUCCUUUUGUUAAUUCUUGUUGCUAGUGGUUCGUCGUAUGAAUUACGUUUGACUCUCUGUUUUCGAUCAGAAGACAAUAAAGGCGUAAGUUUCGAUGAUUAUUUUUCUGUUAUUGUUAGCUUUAACUCGUUCAAUUUUCAAGGUUGAGUUUUAGUUUUAGUUUUUGUUCUAUACUUUGUUAAGUGUUUUCAUGAUUUUGUUUAGGCGAAGGUUGUGAAAAUCGAAUACCUCUAGUGGAGUAAUUCUCGAAGUAAUUCUCAAUUUGGACGUUGCUUUUUGAGUGGUAAGAACUUAAAUUUCAAAUUUAAAGGCUAGAAACUUUGGUAAAAGUGUGUUAUAUUGGAUAGGUUUUUGAGGACUAAUUAGUGUGGUUUGAUGAACGAUUGUAGGAUUCGUGCGUUCCUCUAGAGCAACUGAUCAAAUCUGCCAUCACCUAUGUGAAACUAGCCGAUUUAUCGCUUGAAACUCGAGAAAAAUACGAAAUAGGGGUUGUUUUCGAAACUGCCCAACACCACAUUGCCAUGUGGUAGACUGAGUGUGAUUUUGCAACCCCUAUGGGUAGGCCGUGUGGGGCACACAGCCGUGUGAAAUCUUGUAGCUCAUGUGGGCCUUUUGAGCCAAUUCUGAGGUCUGAUUAAGGGACUCAGUAAUUGGAUCCAUGGGCAUUAUGUAGGCCCAGAAAAACGUAAGAUUCAGUAAACAAACAUGGAUAAGUGUAGUAGGUGUGUUAAAUAAGUUCUGAUAAGUAUAAUAAUGCGUUAUGAUUUGCUAUAAGUAGGUACGUGAAUUAAGCAUGACUAUAUUGUAAACCAUGUGUGUUAUACAUAAUAUGCUAUCUGUUCUGAUAAGCUUUUCUAUUUGACUAUGUAAUAUGAACAUAUGUUAUUGUGAUUUUGCAUGUACAAUGGGGUGGGUUAUGAUAUGAUGGAGGAAGUGUUAUAUGACAGUUUUUACUGCAAAUAUAUGGCGGCUAGACCGCAAAUUCCUAUAUGGCAGCUCAGCUACAUAUUUAUGAGUGGCACAUCGCCACAUUUUGGUGUGAUUGGAUGGAUGGACUCUUAUAGUCCUAUUUGGUAUUGGCUAGUUGGAGUUGGUGUGUAGCGAAUGGGGGUAGGAUCUGUGUCUAUAUUUGUUCCGGUCUAACAUGAUAUUCUGAUAUGAUAUAUGUGUUUCUGAAAUAUAACAUUAUAAAAAUUUCGUUCUGAUAUAUGUUUCUAAAAAUGUGAUAUGAUAAGCUCUGUUACAUUACAAGAUAUGCUCUGAUAUGUAAUAUGAUACAAAAUUUCGAUUUGAUUAUUGUAUAUGCAAAACUCAUAAGAAAUUAUGUUUGUGGGUUAAGUCACACACUGAGUAUCAAACUCACUCGUUUGUUUAAUAUGUUUCAGGUAAUCGUUUGACUUAGGACUGAAUGG
RNAcentral lists this long non-coding RNA (1436 nucleotides) under Gossypium raimondii (Peruvian cotton). RNAcentral's name for it is "long non-coding RNA (GRAI_LNC002868)". Lineage: Eukaryota; Viridiplantae; Streptophyta; Magnoliopsida; Malvales; Malvaceae. The record is from RNAcentral.